This 497-nucleotide ribosomal RNA is filed under the name uncultured bacterium. RNAcentral describes it as "partial 16S ribosomal RNA". It matches the Rfam family "Bacterial small subunit ribosomal RNA", at positions 28 to 507 of the family's 1533-position model. The record is from RNAcentral.
GAUGAACGCUGGCGGCGUGCCUAAUACAUGCAAGUCGAGCGAACGGACGAGAAGCUUGCUUCUCUGAUGUUAGCGGCGGACGGGUGAGUAACACGUGGAUAACCUACCUAUAAGACUGGGAUAACUUCGGGAAACCGGAGCUAAUACCGGAUGAUAUUUUGAACCGCAUGGUUCAAAAGUGAAAGACGGUCUUGCUGUCACUUAUAGAUGGAUCCGCGCUGCAUUAGCUAGUUGGUAAGGUAACGGCUUACCAAGGCAACGAUGCAUAGCCGACCUGAGAGGGUGAUCGGCCACACUGGAACUGAGACACGGUCCAGACUCCUACGGGAGGCAGCAGUAGGGAAUCUUCCGCAAUGGGCGAAAGACUGACGGAGCAGCGCCGCGUGAGUGAUGAAGGUCUUCGGAUCGUAAAACUCUGUUAUUAGGGAAGAACAUAUGUGUAAGUAACUGUGCACAUCUUGACGGUACCUAAUCAGAAAGCCACGGCUAACUACGUG